GACGAACGCUGGCGGCGUGCUUAACACAUGCAAGUCGAACGAAGUGGCGAACGGGUGAGUAAUACGUGGGUAACCUGCCCUCCUUUUUGGGAUAAGCCUUGGAAACGGGGUCUAAUACCGAAUAAAGGGGGAUGGGCUCGCGGCCUAUCAGCUUGUUGGUGGGGUGAUGGCCUACCAAGGCGGUGACGGGUAGCCGGCCUGAGAGGGUGACCGGCCACAUUGGUACUGAGAUACGGCCCAGACUCCUACGGGAGGCAGCAGUGGGGGAUAUUGCACAAUGGGCGAAAGCCUGAUGCAGCCAAGUAGCGUGCAGGAUGACGGCCUAUGGGUUGUAAACUGCUUUUGAUGGGGAUAAGGUACCAUACGAAUAAGGACCGGCUAAUUCCGUGCCAGCAGCCGCGGUAAUUC
Molecule: ribosomal RNA, 408 nt
Filed under: uncultured bacterium
Lineage: Bacteria
Description: partial 16S ribosomal RNA
Rfam family: Bacterial small subunit ribosomal RNA
Source: RNAcentral